Dermochelys coriacea (leatherback sea turtle) is the source of this 1561-nucleotide long non-coding RNA. RefSeq lists it as uncharacterized. Lineage: Eukaryota; Metazoa; Chordata; Testudines; Dermochelyidae. The record is from RefSeq and is a predicted model, not a curated record. The transcript is spliced from 4 exons.
CUAGAGCACUGGGAUGAACUAUAAAUUCAGCCUGCGAAUCUCAAGACUUUUCAUCUAGAAUGCAAAUCUAUAGAUAGUCAGACAGCAGAAAAUUUUGUAUUUUAAAAAUCAACCGUGGUGCUUAACAGACAACCAAAGUCUGAGAAUAUCAUUAUGUUUUAAUAGUAGAAGAGCUUGGGAAGAAGGCUGAAUAUUCCAACUUCUUUUCUACAGCAUACUGGUUAAUUUGAAGUUGGCCUGUAAAGGGGAAAAAAUAAGAAUUGCCUGUGUUAACCAGUGGGGUUGCUGGUCCAUAGACGAGUUGCAUAACAUGGAUUUUAUAAGUACUUCCCGAAGGGAAUCCUCACAGAAACCAGAGCAUCACCUGCUGGUAUCCUCCACCGUCACAUUAUAUUAAUAGGUACUCUUCAAGGAACCUGCUACUGUUGGGGUGUAAGAGGGAUUCCAGAGUAACAAGUCACAUGUUUUGGAGGAACAUGGAAUCUACCAUCUACUAACAAGCUCUGGGAAAGCAUAUGAGAGAUGACCGUAAGUACAUUUCUAUAAACACUGAAGUGUAUUUGCUCUGCGUCUUGCUCUGUGCACAACUUUAUUUUUAAUAUUUAACUUCCUUAUUACCAGAAUUGUAGGAUCAUUACAACAAUGUAUUCAAAUCUCAAUACCAGACACCUCAGUGUGAUCAUAAAUGUAAAUGAUUUUUGUGUAAUAUAUCUAUUAAGGGAUAUUUUGUAGAUCAGUCUGUUCCAGCCCCCCAUCUCAAUUUGUAUAGUGCGGGUGCUGAGAGCCAUUGAACAAACUGUAACCCUUGUAUAUGUGUGACGUUUCACUCCAUAUCUUUAUGAAAAUAUGCUUAUGAUAUACCUUACGCAAGAUGGCUCAUGAGAUAUCAUUGGGAAGGUUAUGAUUUAUUGAAUGAUUAUCCAAUUUGUAUGCCUGUAUCAUUUCUGUAUCUGAAGUUAGGAAUAUUGACUAUGUAUCUGUACUUCAAAUGUGUUACUUUGGGUGUCACCCCCAACCAGCCCUUUAGGGACAACAAUGGAAAAGCCAGACAGGGCGAAUGGCCCAUUAGUAAAGACAAUGGACUGUGAAAGAGCUUGGUCUUCCUGUGGACGCUCCAGACAGCCUACGGGUAAUGGCUGCCACAACCCUGCAGAGACAUGGGUCUGAAUCACCUGGUACUGGACCCACCCCUAAGUAAGCCAGUGUUCUUCUACUGGGAGACAAAGGAUUCCCAUCAUACACAAGAGGAGUAUGACAAAGGGUUCCCAUCAUACAUAAGGCAGGGGAGUGACAUCGUGGUUCUCCUCUGCCUCCCCACCCAAAGAGACACUGAAAAACCACUUGGAAGCAAGAACUGAACUGGGCGGAGAAGGGUUGAGCCAAGCUGGAAGGACGUCUAGCUUGUGAGUAAUGAUAUCUGAGGUCUCAAGCUGCAGACCAGUGAAGCUACCUUUCAAGAUUUUCUGUAAUCUGCCUUUAACAAUAUCUAGGGUGAGAAAUUACUAUUUGUAACCAAUUUCUUUAGUGAAACUAACUUAGUUUGCAUGUUUGCUUUUAUUUG